GACGAACGCUGGCGGCGUGCCUAAUACAUGCAAGUCGAACGCUUCUUUCCUCCCGAGUGCUUGCACUCAAUUGGAAAGAGGAGUGGCGGACGGGUGAGUAACACGUGGGUAACCUACCCAUCAGAGGGGGAUAACACUUGGAAACAGGUGCUAAUACCGCAUAACAGUUUAUGCCGCAUGGCAUAAGAGUGAAAGGCGCUUUCGGGGGUCGCUGAUGGAUGGAGCCGCGGUGCAUUAGCUAGUUGGUGAGGUAACGGCUCACCAAGGCCACGAUGCAUAGCCGACCUGAGAGGGUGAUCGGCCACACUGGGACUGAGACACGGCCCAGACUCCUACGGGAGGCAGCAGUAGGGAAUCUUCGGCAAUGGACGAAAGUCUGACCGAGCAACGCCGCGUGAGUGAAGAAGGUUUUCGGAUCGUAAAACUCUGUUGUUAGGGAAGAACAAGGACGUUAGUAACUGAACGUCCCCUGACGGUAUCUAACCAGAAAGCCACGGCUAACUACGUG
Molecule: ribosomal RNA, 508 nt
Filed under: uncultured bacterium
Lineage: Bacteria
Description: partial 16S ribosomal RNA
Rfam family: Bacterial small subunit ribosomal RNA
Source: RNAcentral